RNAcentral lists this transfer RNA (75 nucleotides) under Siphoviridae sp. ct4Uy2. Its description in RNAcentral is "tRNA-Phe". It matches the Rfam family "tRNA". From Rfam's summary of the family: Transfer RNA (tRNA) molecules are approximately 80 nucleotides in length. Their secondary structure includes four short double-helical elements and three loops (D, anti-codon, and T loops). The record is from RNAcentral. Lineage: Duplodnaviria; Heunggongvirae; Uroviricota; Caudoviricetes.
GGGAAUUUAGCAAAGAUGGGCUAUGCGUCGGACUGAAAAUCCGAAGAACAAGGUUCGAAUCCUACUUAUCCCUCA